This 1853-nucleotide ribosomal RNA is filed under the name Welwitschia mirabilis. Its description in RNAcentral is "SSU rRNA". It matches the Rfam family "Bacterial small subunit ribosomal RNA". Lineage: Eukaryota; Viridiplantae; Streptophyta; Gnetopsida; Welwitschiales; Welwitschiaceae. The record is from RNAcentral.
UAUGCUUAACACAUGCAAGUCGGGCGUGGCGGCAGUAGGGGCAUCGGACUGGCCCCGGUAGGACAGCAAGCUAAGUGGCGAACUAGUGCGUAUAUAGGUGGGAAUCUGCCAAACAAAGCAGCGAGAUCCGUGUGCCACCUGCCUAUGUAUAUAUUAUAUAAUAUACAUGCAGGAUGAUAAGGCAGGAGUGGGUGCACCUUACUCAUACUAAGUAAGAUGGUUCCAUCCCACCGCUGUUCGAUGAGCCCGCUCCAUAUCAGGUAGUUGGUUAGGUAAAGGCUGACCAAGCCAAUGAUGCUUAGCUAGUCUGAUAGGAUGAUCAAUCACACUGAGACUAAGACACGGCCUAGACUCCAACAAGGGGGCAGCAGUGAGGAAUAUUGGAUAAUGGGCUCAUGCCCGAUCCAGCAAUAUUACUUGGGUGAAGAAGGGUCUCGCUCGUAAAGCUCAGCACAUCAAGUUUCGAUCAUGACAGGACUUAAGUAUGGUAGCCCUAGCUAACUCCAUGUCAGCAGCUACGGUAAGACGGGGGAGACAAGUAUUAUUCGGAAUGACUGGGUGUAAAGGGCACGUAUGCAGUGAAACAGGUGGUUUGUCUAGUGCAGCCCUUGACCAUUUCACUUGAGUGAGAUAGGGGAGAGUGGAAUUUCAUGUGGAGGGAUAAAAUCCGAUCUAGAUAUGAAGGAACACGAAUAGUAAAGGCAGCUCUCUGGAUCCCUACCGACGCUAGGGUGUGACUGCAUGAGAAGCAAAUAGGAUCAGAUACCCUAGUAGUCUAUGCCAUAAGCGACGAGUAUUCGCCCUUGUGAUGGGCCCAGCGUAAGUGUGAAACACUCCACCUAGGGAGUACGGUUGCAAGACUGAAACUCAAAGGAAUUGAUGGGGGCCUGCACAAGCAGUGGAGCAUGUGGUUAAAUUCGAUACGACGUGUAGAACCUUACCAGCCAUUGUUGUGGCUCUUAGAUAAGUGUGCCUAUCCACGACCACAUUCAGGAUGGUGCGAAUCGAGUGGCUACAGGUGCUACAUGGCUGUCGUCAGCUCGUGUCAUGAGAUGUUUGGUUAAGUCCCUUAACGAGUGAAACCCUCGUCAUUGUAUGUUGUGGUGCACGAAGUGUCAGAGUCACGUCCCAUGAGUUUUAUUACUUACCGUGCCAGUCCUGCCGAAACUUCUUGUAGUGUUGUUGGCAGCUACAUGAGUCAGCAAUGUUACUCACACUGUCGAAAACAUAGGCUAGGCGGUUCCCCUAGUGUAUUGGGUUCUAUCCCAUCGGGGCAACUCCUUCCCGUACCCCAUACAUACAGUUAGACGGGGUACCGUAUGUGGUAAGCCCUUCACCCCAGCUCGAGGUCCAGACACAUGGCAGGGGCAGGCCACACUCACUCGAGGCUACUAGUGAGAUGCUGGAGGAAGGUGGGGAUAACGUUAAGUAUGCAUGGCCCUUAUGGGCUAGGCCACACAUGUGCUACAAUGGUUGAACCAAUGGGAAGCAAAGCCGUAAGGCAGAGCGAAUCCAGUAGAAACCAGUAGCCUCAGUUCAGAUUGUUCUCUGCAACUCGAGAACAGGAAGGUGGAAUUGCUAGUAAUCAUGCAUCAACAUGACGCGGUGAAUCUGUACCUGGGCCCUAUACACACCGCCUGUUAAACCCUGGGAAAAGCUCUCACCAGAAGUAGUAAAGCCAAAGACCGCGCAUGCAUAUACAUAACACUAGAGUAGUGAAGAGAUCUGUGUGCUGUGCACCACAUUCUCCUAUUCCACAUUGGUGGCGAAGCUUGGGUGGUGCUCUUUUGGUUGGCGCAUGAUAAGGUGGGGCAUAGACUAGGGUGAAGUCAUAACAAGGUAGCCAUAGGGGA